GACGAACGCUGGCGGCGUGCUUAACACAUGCAAGUCGAACGGUGAAGGCGGAGCUUGCUCUGCUGGUUGAGUGGCGAACGGGUGAGUAACACGUGAGCAAUCUGCCCCUGACUCUGGGAUAAGCUCUGGAAACGGCGUCUAAUACUGGAUACGAGCUGCGACGGCAUCUUGAGCGGCUGGCAGUUACGUCGGUCGGGGAUGGGCUCGCGGCAUAUCAGCUUGUUGGUGAGGUAGCGGCUAACCAAGGCGUUGACGGGUAGCCGGCCUGAGAGGGUGACCGGCCACACUGGGACUGAGACACGGCCCAGACUCCUACGGGAGGCAGCAGUGGGGAAUAUUGCACAAUGGGCGGAAGCCUGAUGCAGCAACGCCGCGUGCGGGACGACGGCCUUCGGGUUGUAAACCUCUUUUGGCAGGGAAGAAGCGAAAGUGACGGUACCUGCAGAAAAAGCGCCGGCUAACUACGUG
RNAcentral lists this ribosomal RNA (468 nucleotides) under uncultured bacterium. Its description in RNAcentral is "partial 16S ribosomal RNA". It matches the Rfam family "Bacterial small subunit ribosomal RNA", at positions 28 to 507 of the family's 1533-position model. The record is from RNAcentral.